Molecule: ribosomal RNA, 501 nt
Filed under: uncultured bacterium
Lineage: Bacteria
Description: partial 16S ribosomal RNA
Rfam family: Bacterial small subunit ribosomal RNA
Source: RNAcentral
AUUGAACGCUGGCGGCAGGCUUAACACAUGCAAGUCGAGCGGGGGAAGGUAGCUUGCUACUGGACCUAGCGGCGGACGGGUGAGUAAUGCUUAGGAAUCUGCCUAUUAGUGGGGGACAACAUCUCGAAAGGGAUGCUAAUACCGCAUACGUCCUACGGGUGAAAGCAGGGGAUCUUCGGAACUUGCGCUAAUAGAUGAGCCUAAGUCGGAUUAGCUAGUUGGUGGGGUAAAGGCCUACCAAGGCGACGACCUGUAGCGGGUCUGAGAGGAUUAUCCCCCACACUGGGACUGAGCCACGGCCCAGACGCCUACGGGAGGCAGCAGUGGAGAAUAUUGGACAAUGGGGGGAUCCCUGAUCCAGCCAUGCCGGGUGUGUGAAGAUGGCCUUAUGGUUGUAAAGCACUUUAAGCGAGGAGGAGGCUACUUUAGUUAAUACCUAGGGAUAGUGGACGUUACUCGCAGAAUAAGCACCGGCUAACUCUGUGCCAGCAGCCGCGGUAA